AACGAACGCUGGCGGCAUGCCUAACACAUGCAAGUCGAACGAACCCUUCGGGGUUAGUGGCGCACGGGUGCGUAACGCGUGGGAAUCUGCCCUUUGCUUCGGAAUAACUCAGGGAAACUUGUGCUAAUACCGGAUGAUGUCUUCGGACCAAAGAUUUAUCGGCAAGGGAUGAGCCCGCGUAGGAUUAGGUAGUUGGUGGGGUAAAGGCCUACCAAGCCGACGAUCCUUAGCUGGUCUGAGAGGAUGAUCAGCCACACUGGGACGGAGACACGGCCCAGACUCCUACGGGAAGCAGCAGUGGGGAAUAUUGGACAAUGGGCGCAAGCCUGAUCCAGCAAUGCCGCGUGAGUGAUGAAGGCCCUCGGGUCGUAAAGCUCUUUUACCAGGGAUGAUAAUGACAGUACCUGGAGAAUAAGCUCCGGCUAACUCCGUG
RNAcentral lists this ribosomal RNA (433 nucleotides) under uncultured bacterium. RNAcentral describes it as "partial 16S ribosomal RNA". It matches the Rfam family "Bacterial small subunit ribosomal RNA", at positions 29 to 507 of the family's 1533-position model. The record is from RNAcentral.